GAGGGGCCGUGAGGGCUGCCCGCGCUCAGGGCCUGACGGGCGUGAGGGGUCCCGGCUGAGGAAGCCCCGGACAGUAGGAUGGCCCCUCCAGUUUGCCUCCACCAGAACCACUUUCAGAAGUACAAGGGAAGUGAAGGAAAAAUGUUUACAAACUUUGGUGAAAAGCCAAAUGCAAAGCCUUCUCCAGCUGAGGCAAGUUUAACUGAGGCUCAUCCUUCUGGACCUGCUGACAUCUGGGACUCUGACAUUGUGCCGUGCUGUCCAUGGAGAUAAGAGGAAUUCGAGACAAAGCACGACAUUUGAAAAAAGCUGAGACUCCAGGCUGAAAGCAACCAUAUUUUAUGACCCUGGCAGCGAAGAGUUUAUAGCACUCGCCAUAAAAUGCAUCCUCCUCCCCACAUCCUCCCUGCUAAAGCUGUGCCCCCCCUCCAAUAAAGGCAGCCAAGGAGGCACCACCUUCUACCCUCUUGUUAGGAGACACGAAGUCUGAAGGCUCCGCUGUCCCUGGCUUCCUACCUGGGCGAGGGAGGGCAGGCUGACGCCUUCUACAGAAAAGAUCUUGUUAAACUUUCAACAGAGGGCAACGGGAGGGAAAGCAGAAAGGAAGGAAAGAGAGAAGGAGAGAGAAACAAAUGGGGCUUUUUCUAAUCUGUGCCGAUCAAGGAGAACCUGUAGGGGUCCUUAAGGAGGUUUCAAGGCGUUCCGAGUGAUUGGAAAGUAAUCACCGUGUCAGCUUCACCUUUCUCAUGCAAAGUGGAUGUCGUAUGCGAGGCGGAUCCUGCACAGGUUUUUUUUCUUCUUCUUGGGUUUAGCUUUUUUUUUUUUUUUUACUUUAUUUUAUCCUGGGAUUCAGCCGCCCCCAAGCCCCAGCUGCCGCGGCCCCAGGAGCCGGCGCGGCGGGGGGAGCGGAGCCGGCACAGACAGACGCACACUCAGCGCUGCUCGGCACAGCGAGCCGAGCCGACCUAUUGCAAACCCAGACCAGAGGGCGGCGAGGAGGGGGGGAUUUUUCAGGCCCCCCUCUUCAAUGGCUUAGAUAUUUCCUCCCCCUCCUCCUCCUUUAUUCCGCGCUCGGAUAAACCAAUCUCCACCUCUCGGCAAGAAAGUGAGGAGCCGCGACCCGCUGGAGCAGCGGAGAGUCCCCGGAGGGAGCGGCGGCAGCGAGAGGCGCCCGGGACAUGUGCGAGGGGCCGCGGUGACCGCCCGGCCGUGCCCGCAGCAGCUCCGCGGGCACCGCUGGGCCGGGCGGCGGCGGCGAGGAGCGCGGCGCGGGCGGGCGGGCAGGCGCGCCGCCAAAGUGGAAGCCCGGCGAGCAGAAAGUUGCCGCGCUGCCCGCAGUGAGUCGGGCGGCUGUGCGGAGCGGGGCCGCGCUCCC
Long non-coding RNA from Passer domesticus (house sparrow), 1375 nucleotides. RefSeq lists it as uncharacterized. The record is from RefSeq and is a predicted model, not a curated record. The transcript is spliced from 4 exons. Lineage: Eukaryota; Metazoa; Chordata; Aves; Passeriformes; Passeridae.